Molecule: ribosomal RNA, 467 nt
Filed under: uncultured bacterium
Lineage: Bacteria
Description: partial 16S ribosomal RNA
Rfam family: Bacterial small subunit ribosomal RNA
Source: RNAcentral
ACGAACGCUGGCGGCGUGCUUAACACAUGCAAGUCGAACGGAAAGGCCCUGCUUUUGUGGGGUGCUCGAGUGGCGAACGGGUGAGUAACACGUGAGUAACCUGCCCUUGACUUUGGGAUAACUUCAGGAAACUGGGGCUAAUACCGGAUAGGAGCUCCUGCUGCAUGGUGGGGGUUGGAAAGUUUCGGCGGUUGGGGAUGGACUCGCGGCUUAUCAGCUUGUUGGUGGGGUAGUGAAUUAACAAGGCUUUGACGGGUAGCCGGCCUGAGAGGGUGGCCGCCCACAAUGGGACUGAGAUACGGACCAGACUCCUACGGGAGGCAGCAGUGGGGAAUAUUGCACAAUGAGCGGAAGCCUGAUGCAGCAACGCCGCGUUCGGGAUGACGGCCUUCGGGUUGUAAACCGCUUUCGCCUGUGACGAAGCGUGAGUGACGGUAAUGGGUAAAGAAGCACCGGCUAACUACGUG